GUUAGGAAUAUUGGACAAUGGGCGCAAGCCUGAUCCAGCCAUGCCGCGUGAGUGAUGAAGGCCUUCGGGUUGUAAAGCUCUUUAGUCCACGAAUAUAAUGACUGUAGUGGAAGAAUAAGCCCCGGCUAACUUCGUGCCAGCAGCCGCGGUAAUACGAAGGGGGCGAGCGUUAUUCGGAAUCACUGGGCGUAAAGCGUGCGUAGGCUGUUUUGUAAGUCAGAAGUGAAAGCCCAGGGCUUAACCCUGGAAUUGCUUUUGAAACUACAAGACUCGAAUUCGGGAGAGGAUAGCGGAAUUGUCAGUGUAGCAGUGAAAUGCGUUGAUAUUGACAGGAACACCAGUGGCGCAAGCGGCUAUCUGGACCGAUAUUGACGCUGAGGCACGAAAGCGUGGGGAGCAAACAGGAUUAGAAACCCGUGUAGUCC
RNAcentral lists this ribosomal RNA (425 nucleotides) under uncultured bacterium. Its description in RNAcentral is "partial 16S ribosomal RNA". It matches the Rfam family "Bacterial small subunit ribosomal RNA", at positions 354 to 796 of the family's 1533-position model. The record is from RNAcentral.